GCCCUUGCGGCUGCCGUGGCAGCACCGGACAAAAUGGCGGGAGCGGGUGGCAGCGAUGGCCAAACCCUGGCUCCCAGGAUGGAGAUCAUAGAAAUGAGUGAUGAGUUAAGAAGCAAGCAAGAAAUUGUGAAUGGAUUGAAUAUAUUUUUGGAAGAAAAUGGAGAAAGAAACAGAAACUCUAAGUGAAGAUGGUAGUUCAAAAGAAGCACAUGAUAUAUCAGUGAAAUACACAAAUUUCUUUAAAAUCUAUAACUUUUAUUCAAAUAUAAGACAUAUAUGUCCUAUAUUUAUGAAUCACCAGUAGGGUAGAAUGUGGGCCUUUGAGUUGGAAAGCUUCAGGUUUAAAUUCCAGCUUUAUCUUUUAUUAGCUCUGUUACUGUAGACUAUUCAACUUCUAUGUGCAUCCUCUGUGUUGUAUGGGGAAAAUAAUUUACUUUGCCAAGUUUUGUAAAGACAAAAUAAGGGAAAUGUAAAGCAACUAGUACAAUACCUAGGACAUAGUAGAUACUCAGUGAAUAUGAGUUCACAUCCCUUAUUCUUUUGUCCUAUUUCUUAAGGGAAUAUAACAGUUAAAAACCAAAGCAUU
Molecule: long non-coding RNA, 586 nt
Organism: Leopardus geoffroyi (Geoffroy's cat)
Lineage: Eukaryota; Metazoa; Chordata; Mammalia; Carnivora; Felidae
Exons: 3
Source: RefSeq, a predicted model, not a curated record